CUCUUCAGCUUAUCAAUCUAAAAUUUAGACAUAGAAGUAGGUACAAGGUCAGUGACAAGAUAAUUAACUAUAUUAGACUUGGUACUCUAAGAA
This is a long non-coding RNA of Neltuma alba, 93 nucleotides long. RefSeq lists it as uncharacterized. The record is from RefSeq and is a predicted model, not a curated record. Lineage: Eukaryota; Viridiplantae; Streptophyta; Magnoliopsida; Fabales; Fabaceae. The transcript is spliced from 3 exons.